GGUGAAUAACACGUGAGCAACCUGCCCCUGACUCUGGGAUAAGCCGGGGAAACCAGGUCUAAUACCGGACACCACCUCCUCGCUCCUGCGAUGGGGGUGGAAAGAUUCAUCGGUCGGGGAUGGGCUCGCGGCCUAUCAGCUUGUUGGUGGGGUAACGGCCUACCAGGGCGACGACGGGUAACCGGCCUGAGAGGGCGACCGGUCACACUGGGACUGACACACGGCCCACACUCCUACGGGAGGCAGCAGUGGGGAAUAUUGCGCAGUGGGCGGAAGCCUGACGCACCGACCCCGCGUGGGGGAUGACGGCCUUCGGGUUGUAAACCCCUUUCAGCAGGGACGAAGCCAACGUGACGGUACCUGCAGAAAAAGCGCCGGCUAACUACGUGCCAGCACCCGCGGUAAUACGUAGGGCGCAAGCGUUGUCCAGAAUUAUUGGG
This 440-nucleotide ribosomal RNA is filed under the name Actinomadura sp. Its description in RNAcentral is "bacterial SSU rRNA". It matches the Rfam family "Bacterial small subunit ribosomal RNA", at positions 105 to 558 of the family's 1533-position model. The record is from RNAcentral. Lineage: Bacteria; Bacillati; Actinomycetota; Actinomycetes; Streptosporangiales; Thermomonosporaceae.